GGAGGAAAGCAGGGGAUCGCAAGACCUUGCGCUCAUUGAGCGGCCGAUGCCUGAUUAGCUAGUUGGUGAGGUAAAGGCUUACCAAGGCGACGAUCAGUAGCUGGUCUGAGAGGACGACCAGCCACACUGGGACUGAGACACGGCCCAGACUCCUACGGGAGGCAGCAGUGGGGAAUUUUGGACAAUGGGGGAAACCCUGAUCCAGCCAUGCCGCGUGAGUGAAGAAGGCCUUCGGGUUGUAAAGCUCUUUCAGCCGGAACGAAACGGUCACGGCUAAUACCUGUGACUACUGACGGUACCGGAAGAAGAAGCACCGGCUAAAUACGUGCCAGCAGCCGCGGGGAUACGUAGGGUGCGAGCGUUAAUCGGAAUUACUGGGCGUAAAGCGUGCGCAGGCGGUUUUGUAA
Molecule: ribosomal RNA, 407 nt
Filed under: uncultured beta proteobacterium
Lineage: Bacteria; Pseudomonadati; Pseudomonadota; Betaproteobacteria
Description: bacterial SSU rRNA
Rfam family: Bacterial small subunit ribosomal RNA
Source: RNAcentral